UCCCGUUGGCUCUAAGGGCGGAAAUUUCCGCGGAGCCGGAAGUUUACGCGGGGCCGGAGCCUCUUAACGGCGACCGCCCCAGAAACCUGUACCCGGGAUGGGCGGGGCCGAGGGGCGGGAACUGGCGUGGGUGAGGCCGUCAGGUGCCCCACGCUCAAAGGGCCGCGGUGGAAGGUGUUUGCGUCAACUGGGCGGUGGAGUGCUGUUCACCGUUGUCUGCCUGGUGAAGAUACGCUAGAGCCAAUGACAUUUCUUUUUUAUCUGAAGUCUUUUAAAGAUACCCCCAGAAAUACGGGGUGAAAGAAACUCAGACUUUGCAAAAAUAUUUGGCCAUCUAUGACCCCUUGCUUCUUGCUGUUUGUGGUUGAACUUCGGCAGAUGCUCCUUAAUGCACAAGUGAAUAUUUUAGCCAUACUGUCAUACCAUGGACAUGUGGUUUACACUAAGAAGACUGAGGAACUGCAGUAUUUUUUUUAAACGGAAGGUUCUCGCACAAUGAAAUCUUGAAAUUGGGACUGCAGCUAGCAGGCCAUCUUGAAUUGAAGCCAAAAUGCAGAUUUCUGCACUAGAGCUGAGCUGGUUGGAAGAGGUUUCAAGCUACUUUUAAAGUCCCAAAUGGGGUCAGCAAAUUAUGGCCUGUGGACCUAAUCCAGCCUGUCACUUGUUUUUGUGUGGCCUGAGGAUGGUUUUACAUUUUUAAUGGUUGGAGUUGAGAGAAGGUGAGCAAAGGAAGAUUUCGUGACAAAUGAAAAUGAGAUGAAAUUCAAAGAUCUGGAGGCCAGAAGUCCAGAUCAAGAAGCCAGCAGGG
Long non-coding RNA from Mustela erminea (ermine), 808 nucleotides. RefSeq lists it as uncharacterized. The transcript has 3 exons. The record is from RefSeq and is a predicted model, not a curated record. Lineage: Eukaryota; Metazoa; Chordata; Mammalia; Carnivora; Mustelidae.